AGGCUCUGUCAUAAUGAAUGGAUCCAGUGUGGCCAAUACAUCACCCAGCAUAAAAUCCAAAGAGGACCAGGGCUUAAGUGGGCACGAUGAGAAGGAAAACCCAUUUGCAGAGUACAUGUGGAUGGAGAAUGAAGAGGACUUCAACAGACAGGUGGAGGAGGAGCUGCAGGAGCAAGAAUUCUUGGACCGCUGCUUCCAGGAGAUGCUGGAUGAGGAAGACCAAGACUGGUUUAUUCCAUCUCGAGACCUGCCUCAGGCCAUGGGACAGUUGCAACAGCAGUUCAACGGACUGUCGGUCAGUGAUGGUCAUGAUUCUGAAGAUAUUUUGAGCAAAAGUAACCUGAACCCGGAUGCCAAGGAAUUUAUUCCAGGAGUGAAGUACUGAGCUGACAGAAAGCUUUGAGGAGGACUUGUAUGUCCCCACAUCUGGGGACAGGGCUGCACAACAAGGCGGAGCCGAAGAGGGGGGUGGGUGGGUGAGGGGUGCACAGGGGGGAAGGGGAACAGUGGUUUAACUUGACACUGUGACUGGCAUAGCUUAUGUGCUCAGUUUUUCUCUACAGCCUCUGAGUAUUUCCUUUUGUUCUACUGACUUUUCAUUGGUUCUACUGACUUUCAUUUCAACUAUUAUUAUUGUUGUUGUUGUUGUUGUUAGCUUUUUGACUUAGGAAGAUUGCAGUCUUUUUUCCCCCUUCAUCAGGAAUGUUCUGCUGUGUGUGUUUAAAGAAAAUAAGCUGACCAAGAAAAUCCGGGUGUUUAAGAAUGCCCUUCUCACCCUGCUGUAUACUUACCAAGGGCAGAGAACACCUGGAAAACUACUUAUUCAGUCUCUUAAGCUGGAAGAGAAGAGGGAUGAGUAGAAGAAGCAGGGAUUGCAAAGCAGAGCACCCAACGCCCCAACCCCUGGGGCUUUCCCACGAUGAACUGGGAUUACCAGUGUCCUGCAGAGCCCACGUCCCUACCUGAGCCCCAUUCAAGAAAACACAGGCUUAAAGUACUAAUCCCCAUUACUUUCGAUGGUAGAUGAACUUCAGAUGGUCGAUAAGAGUUGUAACUCAAGGAGAAGACUGGGGUGGUGAUUGUCCCUCGAGUCCUUCAGUUCAUCCAGUUACCGCUGGCCUGCUCUUAAACCUGUGGGUACAGCCACCAUCGGACUCGUCGUUUACCAGGCAAAAGAGCACCAGGGUGGAUUUGCCACUUAGUCCCUCAUGGUGUCUAGUCCCUUGUUUCUUUUCUACCCCAACUCUACUGUUUUUUUAAAAAAGAUAUCGUUAGCAAAAGUGUACAAGAGGCAUGCUGUGCUGGCCAUCAGCUUCAUCCUGGAGAAGUCAUCCUGAAUCCUUUUAGUUAUGGCUUAAGUUUAUUUUGACAGUUUUUCAUUAGCCCCACGAAAACUUGGUCCACCUGGUAUCUUCUUUUCCUUAAACUGGUUUGUGCACUUUUACAAGUCAUUGUAUUUUUCAGGACGGUAGCAUGAAGCUGAACUCACAAUUUGGAUGUUUCUCCCCACUUUACAGAAUUAGGCAAAAGAACUCCAAAAAAGCCUAGGCGAGUGAGUUCUGCUUUUGACCCUGUGACUGUGUGACCCACUGGGACAGUUUUGGCAGUUAUAAAAUUUUGCUGUUCCCACACACCCAUUUUUCUAGGUUGGACCUUCUGGGUACAUUCCUUUUGUCUUUACUGCCUACAGGUCACAGGAAGUUUUUUAGCUGUUGUCGAUCCUCAUAAGGACCUAAACCGGGCGCCAGCAGCUGCCUUUGAGUGAUAGAGAUGUCGGUGGCAGAGUCAGGUUUAAAAGAGAGUGUGUCCAGUCCUGGCCAUCCCCACAGAACAGGCAAGGACUUGCAGGGACCUGAGGGGGACAGUGGCUCCUGUAUGACUGCCACUGUCCUGUGGGAUAGGCCUAUAUCAGGAGGAGAUCAUGUAACUUGAAAUAAAGUCUGUGUAAAUUCAGUAUGUGGAUGUGGGACAGAGGUUGAAAGAAAAGAAUGAGGAUUUGGAAGGUUUAAGAGUUUCUCCUUUUUUCUCAUGAGCUCCCUUGUUGACGUUUUGGACAGCCACAGGUUAAUGUCAGGUUGAAAAUACAAAUCCACAUCUUUUCCUCAUUGGAGUCCUUAGGAUGAUAUCAUUUUUAAAAAAUGCCCUUCCUUGCUGGGUCACGUGUCAUAGGAGGGUAGCUUAGGGAGCUUAUAUUGCCACUUAUGCUCCUGAAUUCCCAAAGCCUCUACCUGGAGAGAAUGAAACUCUUGUUUUCAGGGUGGACUGUAAAUAAAGAAACAGCUUAAUUCUGGCUUCAGCUUUCACCCGGAAUUGUUGCCUCUAAUAAGGAGAGGGCCCUGGAAGUGCAGAAAUAGAGGUCCUCUUCCAGGACUGCUUUUCCUCCUUUCCAUCUCCAUUAUCUUGCCCAAGCUCAGAAUUCUAAAGACUUCUAUAAAUGUGUUGGGAUUGCAGAAGAGCCUUUUUCUAGACCAUGUUGUCUCCAUCACAAAGAGCAUCAUGGAUUCUUGUGUGGCUCCUGGACUGGGAAGUCCUACAGGGAUCCAGAUGGAGCCGUCUCUUUAUCCUGAGGAAGGCUUGCUCUUCGGACACCAGGAUAGGCUAAGGUGUGAGGUAUCGUCCUCAGGGCUUGUUUUUCCAUCUGCUGUGGGGUUCCAUCUUGAAUUUCAGUCGUUGAGCAAUGGAACUGAGCAAUGGAAGCUGAGGGCUGGCCUUUCCAGUCCUGUUCAGACUCAGUGUGCUGACUGUAGGAUCAGGAAGCAGUGUGACCCUUUUUUAAUGUGCAGGUUUGUGCUUCCAGCUGUUCCUCUUGUAGCCUGACUCUUUUCUCCAUCUAUUUUAUAUGGUAGGGUGGGAGCAGAAUUGUCACCCAGGACACAGGCUCAGCUCUAGUCAGUUUGUCAGCUCCCUAGCAGAAAAUGCAUGGAGAUCUUACUGGAUCUUCCUGGGGGAAAGGCUGGGAACCUCUGUCUCAGACUUUUCCUCAGAAGAGAGGUUCUGGGUACAAGCCACGCUAGGCAUCUUCACCCUUUAAGGGUGAGGCUGGUAUUAUAAGUGAUCAUUUUAAUGUUGAAUUUAAACCACUACUCUGUUUAAGCUAAUUUUUUUUUUUUUUUUAGCUGGCAACUGGAAUUUUGAAACAAUAUUGCUGGAGUUCCCAUUGUGGUACAGUGGAAAUGAAUCCGACUAGUAUCCAAGUGGGGUCAAUCCCUGGCCUCGCUCAGUGGGUUAAGGAUCCAGUGUUGUCGUGAGUGGUAGUGUAGGUUGCAGACGAGGCUUGGAUCCCACGUUGCUGUGGCUAUGGCAUAGGCCAGCAGCUGCAGCUCCGAUUUGACCCCUGGCCUGGGAACUUCUAUAUGCCGUAGGUGAGGCCCUUAAAAAAAAAAAGAGAAUAUUGCCAGUUGCCAAUUCUGGCUGGUCCAAGUGUCAACUUUGUUAGUGAUUGAUUUCUGACUUUUGUGAUUACUGGACUCUAAAACUCCAAAAUGAAAAUCAUUUUUAUCUCUUGCUCUUCAAGGGGGAGGAAAAAAAGAAAUACGUUUUCAGUUUCUCCAGCCCUUUGAACUGUAGCAGAACACUUGAUGGAUACAGCCUAGGCACCUGCAGCUCUGGGUCUUUGGACAAGUUUUCCACCACAGCAUUUGAUUUUGGGGAUCCUAUAAGGUCAGACCCAAAAAGAUGGUAAGAAAAAGGCUCGACUUUUGCAACACCUUUAGUUUCCAAAAUCAAAACAGCCAGGAUCUCUUUAAUUACAGUUACAGUACUAAAUGUCUUUAGUGAAAUAAUCAGCAUUUUUCAAAUUGUGUAUUGCCGUAAUGUCAAAGUUCUGUCUUGAUUUUGGAGAGGCUGGGAAGUAAGGUCAGUCAAACACUCUGACCUCAGAGUGGAAUUUAGUACAUGUCAAGAGAGGGAAGUUGUAUGAAGAGGCAGCCAAAGCAAACAGCUUGACUGCGUCUUGGAUCUUCUUGCAUUAGUGCUGCUGCAGAGCCCAUUUACACACAUCAAGAGCCGAGGAAUCUGCACUGCUGGGAUUGGAGGGGACAGGUGUUCUUGGAUAAGGGUCCCGGCGUCACAAGUUAAUAAUGUUGCUUGGUUUAGGAUAUGCUGAGUUCUGAGAUUAGGCAGAGACCUGACAGAUCUGAGCAGGAUUUGGAGACAUGCACCUUUUGGGAAAGGCUCUAUCCCCAGCCACCCUCCCCUGGUCUAAUCGCAGCCCUCAGUAGUUUGGGAAGCGGGUAAAGAGAACAGGGUUGACAAGGAUCUGGUGAACCUUGGGAACCUUGAUCUCCUCCUGCCUCUGCCUCCAGCACCCCCAUGUGAAUCAUUUCCCCUCUCAUUGCACACAGAGAUCAUUAAUUCUGGCACGUGGGUAGUCAGUAGCAGAGUACUUUCUGUAGCCACUGCUCUACUGCUUUGUGAAUUUCACCCACAGACGUGGUUAGUCACAAUCUUGAAGGCUUUUCUUUUCUUUUUUUUUUUUUGCCUUUGUUUUUAAUCUUCUGUCUUUAUUUCUUCCAUCUUGAAGGUGCACUUAGUGACAAAGGACAGGGGACAGGAGGCUGACCAAGGAAACACUCAAGUUUUCUGCUUGCUGUUUGGCCUCUGCCCUCACUGCCCAACCCCCUACUGUUGUCCCCAGUCUGGAUUUGCAGGGAGAGGAGGGUCAUACAAUAGGUCAGUGAUCUCAAUAGCGUGUUAGCCAAGAGAUUCACCACCCUACCCUUGGGGGACAGAAGAGAAAUCUACAAAGGGACAGACAUGCCAUCUUUAUUCUAAAAGAAAAAGCUCCCUUUAGAAUUUCUAUUGUGGUGCAGUGGUAACGAACCCCACUAGUAUUCAUGAGGACUGGGGUUCAAUCCCUGGUCUCGCUUAUUCGACCCCUAGCCUGGGAACCUCCAUGUACCGCACAUGCAGCCUUAAAAAAAAAAAAAAAAAAAAAGCCCCUUUAGAUUUCGUUAUUGGAGUCUCAUUUGUGGAGCCCGCUGAGCUUUUUCUGCCAAUCUUACCUUCUCACUGACUUCCUUUCAUUUUAAUAUUAUAAAUAAUGAAGUAACAUACUAGACUAUGUACUAUGUUCACUCCAUAACUCAACGCUAAGUGAUAAUCCUGUCCUAUUGAUUAUGAACCUUGAGAAAUGUUUAAUGCUUAAUGGGUGGUUUGGGAAGCAGGGACUUUUUUUUUCAGCAACUUUAUUGAGGCACAUCUUACAUAUAAAAUUCACCCAUUUCAAGUGUACAGUUCAGUGAUUUUAGUAACUUUCCUGAGUGGUGCAACCAUGCAGUUCUCAGUUUUAGGACACUUUCAUUCCCUCCAAUAAGAUCUUUCAUGCAUCUUUACAUAAUACCUGUUCCUAGCUCUAGGCAACGACUAAUUUGUAUCUAUGUCUGCCUUUUCUGGACAUCAUCUUAAUGGAAUCAUACAAAAUGUGGUCUCUUGUAUCUGGCUUUUUUCACUUGGCAUAUUUUCAAGGUUCAUCCAUGAUGUCUAACUUGUGUUAGUAGCUUUCUCCUUUUUUAUUGUGAAUAAUGUUCCAUCAAUACACCACAUUUGUCAGCAGGGAGUUUUUUAAACUUGGAUUUCAAGCUCUUGUGUUCUAAAUGAAACCCUCAGAACAUAGGACUCAUGGGGAAGCUGCUGUGCGUUUCAGAAGAACUGCUCAUCAGAACCUCCAGAAUCGCUGCAGAAAUUUUUAUAAUUUUGCAACUUCUUUUUUAUAUGAAACUUUUGUGCUGUCUACCUGUCAGGGCUUCUGAAGCCUCUGAUAAUUUAAAAAGUUAAUGAGCAUGUGUUUGAGCAGAGAAGAAAGUGAAACCAUCAGUACUGUGUUGGACACUUUUUCCUCCCUGAUUAUGGAGGAAUCUCUGAACGCUCUUCUCUGUCAUCUCCAUGACAAAGCUGAACAUGUAUUAAAGGUGAUGCUGCCUUUGUCAGACCGAUUUGGAAGAAAAGAGGCCAGCCAGCAGAGGUCAAGAGGAGAGAGGGAGUGGACUUUGUGGUCAUCCCAGUGGGUCUGUGCACGGCUGACACAUCUGCUGGUGUGGCUGAUGGUGAGGUGUGGAUGGUGCCAGGCAGCUUUAGCACCUCCAACAGGCCCAGGUCUGGACUUCGGCCCUUCAUCCCUAUUUUUCAAGUGUUUAAAGCUGUUUUCGUUUCUUCUUUUUCCUAAAUACACAUUACAUGGUAGUUAUUAAUACUUCUUUGGGGGAUGGGGCAGGGCUUUCAAAUUAAAUAAUUUUCAUAAAAAUAUCAAAAAUGGAAACAAGGUUACUUUUUUAAAAAUUUGCUAUACAAACCAAAUGGCAGCUGUUGAAAAUCUCAUUAAAAUGAGAAUAAAAUG
This 6334-nucleotide long non-coding RNA is filed under the name Sus scrofa (pig). Its description in RNAcentral is "lncRNA (ENSSSCG00040054479.1)". Lineage: Eukaryota; Metazoa; Chordata; Mammalia; Artiodactyla; Suidae. The record is from RNAcentral.